Molecule: non-coding RNA, 71 nt
Organism: Podarcis lilfordi (Lilford's wall lizard)
Lineage: Eukaryota; Metazoa; Chordata; Lepidosauria; Squamata; Lacertidae
Source: the annotation of a GenBank genome assembly
GGAAGUAGCUCUGUGCUUAGAGCAUCCGCUUUGCAUGCACAAGGUACCCGGUUCAAUUCCUGGCAUCUCCA